RNAcentral lists this ribosomal RNA (1223 nucleotides) under metagenome. RNAcentral's name for it is "bacterial LSU rRNA". It matches the Rfam family "Bacterial large subunit ribosomal RNA", at positions 1692 to 2925 of the family's 2925-position model. The record is from RNAcentral.
GAGAGAACUCUCGUUAAGGAACUCGGCAAAAUGACCCCGUAACUUCGGGAGGAGGGGUGCUGACCGCAAGGUCAGCCGCAGUGAAUAGGCCCAAGCGACUGUUUAUCAAAAACACAGGUCUCUGCAAAAUCGAAAGAUGACGUAUAGGGGCUGACGCCUGCCCGGUGCUGGAAGGUUAAGAGGAGAGGUUAGCGCAAGCGAAGCUUUGAAUUGAAGCCCCAGUAAACGGCGGCCGUAACAAUAACGGUCCUAAGGUAGCGAAAUUCCUUGUCGGGUAAGUUCCGACCCGCACGAAAGGCGUAACGAUUUGGGCACUGUCUCAACGAGAGACUCGGUGAAAUUAUAGUACCAGUGAAGAUGCUGGUUACCCGCGACAGGACGGAAAGACCCCAUGGAGCUUUACUGCAGUUUGAUAUUGCGUGUUUGUAUCACAUGUACAGGAUAGGUAGGAGCCGAAGAUACCGGGACGCCAGUCUCGGAGGAGGCAACGGUGGGAUACUACCCUUGUGAUAUGACCACUCUAACCCGCUGCUCUUAGCGAGCAGGGAGACAGUGUCAGACGGGCAGUUUGACUGGGGCGGUCGCCUCCAAAAAUGUAACGGAGGCGCCCAAAGGUUCCCUCAGAAUGGUUGGAAAUCAUUCGUAGAGUGUAAAGGCAGAAGGGAGCUUGACUGCGAGACCUACAAGUCGAGCAGGGACGAAAGUCGGGCUUAGUGAUCCGGUGGUUCCGCAUGGAAGGGCCAUCGCUCAACGGAUAAAAGCUACCCUGGGGAUAACAGGCUUAUCUCCCCCAAGAGUUCACAUCGACGGGGAGGUUUGGCACCUCGAUGUCGGCUCAUCGCAUCCUGGGGCUGUAGUCGGUCCCAAGGGUUGGGCUGUUCGCCCAUUAAAGCGGUACGCGAGCUGGGUUCAGAACGUCGUGAGACAGUUCGGUCCCUAUCCGUCGCGGGCGUUGGAAAUUUGAGAGGAGCUGUCCUUAGUACGAGAGGACCGGGAUGGACACACCGCUGGUGUACCAGUUGUUCUGCCAAGAGCAUCGCUGGGUAGCUAUGUGUGGACGGGAUAAACGCUGAAAGCAUCUAAGCGUGAAGCCCCCCUCAAGAUGAGAUUUCCCAUCACUUUAAGUGAGUAAGACCCCUGAGAGAUGAUCAGGUAGAUAGGUUGGGAGUGGAAGUACAGCGAUGUAUGGAGCGGACCAAUACUAAUCGGUCGAGGACUUAAUC